UACAGGGGGUGCAAACGUUGUUCGGAAUUAUUGGGCGUAAAGCGCGCGUAGGCGGCUACUUAAGUCGGAUGUGAAAGCCCUUGGCUCAACUGAGGAAGUGCACCCGAAACUGAGUGGCUAGAGUACGAAAGAGGGUCGCGGAAUUCCCGGUGUAGAGGUGAAAUUCGUAGAUAUCGGGAGGAACACCGGUGGCGAAGGCGGCGACCUGGGUCGAUACUGACGCUGAUGCGCGAAAGCGUGGGGAGCAAACAGG
RNAcentral lists this ribosomal RNA (253 nucleotides) under uncultured bacterium. RNAcentral's name for it is "partial 16S ribosomal RNA". It matches the Rfam family "Bacterial small subunit ribosomal RNA", at positions 524 to 776 of the family's 1533-position model. The record is from RNAcentral.